Molecule: ribosomal RNA, 253 nt
Filed under: uncultured bacterium
Lineage: Bacteria
Description: partial 16S ribosomal RNA
Rfam family: Bacterial small subunit ribosomal RNA
Source: RNAcentral
UACGAAGGGGGCUAGCGUUGUUCGGAAUCACUGGGCGUAAAGCGCACGUAGGCGGAUCUUUAAGUCAGGGGUGAAAUCCCGAGGCUCAACCUCGGAACUGCCUUUGAUACUGGGGAUCUCGAGUCCGGGAGAGGUGAGUGGAACUGCGAGUGUAGAGGUGAAAUUCGUAGAUAUUCGCAAGAACACCCGUGGCGAAGGCGACUCACUGGACACGUAUUGACGCUGAGGUGCGAAAGCGUGGGGAGCAAACAGG